This 669-nucleotide long non-coding RNA is filed under the name Hordeum vulgare. RNAcentral's name for it is "long non-coding RNA (HVUL_LNC017687)". The record is from RNAcentral. Lineage: Eukaryota; Viridiplantae; Streptophyta; Magnoliopsida; Poales; Poaceae.
ACAUCUAGGGAAAACGUCAGGUAAAAAUAACAUGGCUAUGAAAGCUUUGUCCUGACCUAGAAAAAUAUAUUAAUCUUCAUGUCAUCAUCUGUCUUGAAUCGAAAGAUGUGGCUGCACCCAGGUGUGCUCACACUCCAUAUAUCAGCCCUAUUUUUUCGGAAUUCAGAUAGGGGUCUGACAGCUCGCAUAACUUUUGCAGUGCUUGGGUUGUAAUCACCCAAAAUUAGUACAUCUUCGAUUGCUUGGGAGCGAAACACAUCCAUUACUAUAAUAUAAUAAAAUCAUUUAAUCAAGCAAACUAUUAUUGAACCAUAUCUAAUGCGUAAUGGCAAUGCCAAACCUGUACGUGGGAGCAGUUGAUCUUAAAAUCACAGAUGGAUCAGUUGAGGGUGAAGAAGCCCGUCCUUCCGCUGGAACCGAUCUCUCCACUGAAAGAGCACUCAGCUGGGACUAUCAUUAAUCACAGCAGGCCUAGGACGAAGAGUGCAAAAGAGAUCACGGCCGAAUACUCCUUAGCGCACAAUGGCGAGGAAAUUGAGAUUACUACAACCAAUUUGUCUCGCUGAUAAUGUAGGAGAGAUGGAUCCGACUAUAGAAAGCAGCGGCGGCUUCCCGUAUGUUUGUCCUGGUGGUAAUAGCGAUCGAUCUAGCAGCUGGCUUCUUUGUUGG